UAGGGAAUCUUCGGCAAUGGGGGCAACCCUGACCGAGCAACGCCGCGUGAGUGAAGAAGGUUUUCGGAUCGUAAAGCUCUGUUGUAAGAGAAGAACGAGUGUGAGAGUGGAAAGUUCACGCUGUGACGGUAUCUUACCAGAAAGGGACGGCUAACUACGUGCCAGCAGCCGCGGUAAUACGUAGGUCCCGAGCGUUAUCCGGAUUUAUUGGGCGUAAAGCGCGCGCAGGUGGUUUAAUAAGUCUGAUGUGAAAGCCCGCGGCCCAACCGUGGAGGGUCAUUGGAAACUGUUAAACUUGAGUGCAGGAGAGAAAAGUGGAAUCCCUAGUGUAGCGGUGAAAUGCGUAGAGAUUAGGAGGAACACCAGUGGCGAAGGCGGCUUUUUGGCCUGUAACUGACACUGAGGCGCGAAAGCGUGGGGAGCAAACAGGAUUAGAUACCCUGGUAGUCCACGCCGUAAACGAUGAGUGCUAAGUGUUGGUCUCAUAAGAGAUCAGUGCUGCAGCUAACGCAUUAAGCACUCCGCCUGGGGAGUACGACCGCAAGGUUG
RNAcentral lists this ribosomal RNA (549 nucleotides) under uncultured bacterium. RNAcentral's name for it is "bacterial SSU rRNA". It matches the Rfam family "Bacterial small subunit ribosomal RNA", at positions 355 to 896 of the family's 1533-position model. The record is from RNAcentral.